UAACCAUGACAUAAAAAGCCCUAUUCACAGCUUAAUGUUCAUACCGAAUUUUAUUCCAAUAAUAAAUCAAAUAUUUAUGGAUAAUUCAUAUCCUAUUUUCCAUUAUAAUUCAAUUCAAUCUCAUUUUUUAUUUCUAUUUCAAUCAUAAACCAAACACGCCCUUCACAGAUUUAACAUAAAAUCAUAUAACAUCUAACCAAGAAACCAUAAUAACUAUUGUACCUCACUAAUGUAGACUUUCAAAAUAGAAACACCAUUAUCUAAGUGGAUGCAGAAUGAAAAAAAUUUAUUCUAGUGGCCUAAAUGUUUUCGCACUAUAAUAUCUGAAACAAGGACUUUUCUGUAGAGUUCUGUGACAGUCCCUCAUAU
This 369-nucleotide long non-coding RNA is filed under the name Ananas comosus (pineapple). RNAcentral's name for it is "long non-coding RNA (ACOM_LNC005835)". The record is from RNAcentral. Lineage: Eukaryota; Viridiplantae; Streptophyta; Magnoliopsida; Poales; Bromeliaceae.